CAAAAACGGAUUCAAUAUUUAGAGUUAGUGCACGAGUUUCGAGCUGAAAGUAAUGGAUUCAGUUUAAUCUGCCCUAAUUCUGCAUGUGACAUCUACGCGCACCAUAUAUUACAACAUUAUCAACUGCGAUAUUUCAACGGAAAAAGAGGAUAAUGUAACAAGAACAGACAGUAAGUAAUUAUUUAACAAGAACAAUUGCAAAAAGUCCUAUUGUUAACACUUAAUCUUCAGUAAACUUCUAGUAACAUCUUUAACGUGAGACUGAAAAAUACAUGGUUAAUAGAUCUGCUAUAGCAAUUUUAUAACAUACUAAUCCAAUAAAGCAAUAAUAUAAAGUAUUAAUUUUUUCCCCCCUAAGAUGUUGGUAAGAGUGUCAAUAUGUUCAUGGCCCACAAAGUUAGAUUACAGGUUUUUCAUAAUUGAAAUAAGCAUUUCAAUCACGUUUGUUGUUGACAAAUAAUGCCUGUCAUGUUCUGUGGUUGAAAUUCAAAGUCACGUUUGCCUCCUUCUCCUAUAUAUUUAUUUAAACGAAACUCAAACUUACAAAACGUUGAAACAAAAGAAAUCCUCCUCACAGGACACUUACAACUUCUCCAAUAGUAGAGUCACCAAUGCCUCCAAAAGAGUAACAAAUUGAAAGAAGUCAUCAAAUAUUAGAGUAAGCUGAAGACGAUGCCAAGCUGAUGAAGAAUACAGACGUCUUUGCAAUGCCUAAUCGUCGUCAACUAGUUUUAUGGUAACGUUACACUAUCACUAGCCACAUAAUAUAAUAAAUACAGUAGUACGUGUUAUGUUACAUUAUAUAAACUAGUAUCGUUCAAUAUUUAAACCCAAAUUUUUUAAGAAAAAAAAUCAAUUUUGAUGAUUGUCACAUUUAAUUGUAUAUACUCAGUCACACAUCAAAACCUCCAAAAAAUAAGAGGAGAAUAAAAUAUCUUUUCCUUUAAUGUCUUGCAAUUGAGGAAAAGAAAAUAUAUUUCAUAAACGACUUCUUGACUGAUGAAAUAAAGCCUAUUUUGUGGCAGUUAGGAUUUGACUAGCAGCUGAUGACUUCAUAAAUAAACAACAACAAAAAUUGUCUGCUAUCACUUUUGAAAAUGCAAUUUGUCAGCCUUGUAAAAUUUCUUGCAUUAUAUAUCUAGUGAUUAAUUUUGUGGGCCAAGCUAGCUAGUGUCUUCUUUUUGUUUCUGUUUUUUCCUUUAAGCAUGCAGAAACAAGUACUAACAAAGUGGUUAUCUUAACCUCAUGUCAACAUAUAAUAACUUAAUAAAUUAUUAAAAAACAUAAUUUUAAUUAGUUAAUUGCAAUUUAUAUCUUAACACAGGCUAGCAAUUUCUUAUUGGAUUCUAGUUUUUCAAUCAUGGUGUUAAAACACUGACGAUCUUGUUUUUACAUACUAACUAUUUUUUGUUAUGUUUAACUAUCUUUGUAUCCCAAGCCCAUUAAUUCGACUAGUUUAGAUUUGUGCCAAGAAGGUAAAGCACAAGUUAUCAAGAAAAUCUUCAUUCUUAUCACUCAAAUUCAAGAUAUCUAAUGGUGGAGAGAUCACAAUCAUCCAAUGGAAUUAAUCAUCUGUUGAUGUUAUCAUGCAUGGUCACGAUUUGUACCUCCGCCAGCAGUGCACAAUUCUAGAAUGAUAUUUCCUUGCUCUUAAAAGGCACCACGGUAUACUAAGCUUUCGCUAUGCGUGGGAUUCCGGUGCACUAAGCUUCGGUUAUGCAUGAGAUCCCGGGAAGGGUCGGACCAAGAGACUAUUUUUACGGCUCGAAUCCGUGACCUUCUGGUCUCAUGGUAAGAAUUUUACCAGUUAUGCAAAUAUGCUCCCUUUCGAUAUGUGUGAGAUCUCGGAAAGGGCUGGACCAAGAUGUUAUUUCCACGGCUCGAACUCGUGACUUUCUGGACACAUGGUAACAACUUUACCAGUUACACCAAUGCUCCCCUUUGAUAUUUCUUUUGUUUUAUUUUAUUUAAUAUCAUUUGACUAGGAGUACUAAAAACUAACUUGUACUUUAUAUUUACACUAAAUCAAUAGGUACAUAAUAUGUGUUUAUAUAUACAAUUAUUUCACUUAAUUAUAAUUAAUAUUACGGUAUAUAUUUGGUGCAAACACCUACUGCAGCUAAAUUUUUACCUUUAGACUAGGUAUAAAGCAAAUAUUAAAUUAAUGUAGACAUAAUUUGAUAGAAAAUAUCAUACAAAAAUUAAAGAAUAAUAAAGCUAAAGGAAAAUGUGAUUCUUAAAAGUUGUGUUAAUAAUAUUUUUAUAUCUCAUUUUUGACACUAUCAUUAUUUGGGAGUCAAAAGUGCUUUUUUCUUGACUAUAAUUUAAAUAUUUGGACUUAUUAAUUAUCUUAAUUUAUACUCUUUUUGUUUUAAUUUGUUUUAUUUGUCUUACUUUGACUUGAAACAAAGUUUUAAUAAGAGAGGAAGACUUUUAAACGUGUGGUAUUAAACAUGCUUUAAAAUUUGUGUGACUAUAAAGCUUUUGAAACUUAUGAUCUUAAAUAAGUUAUAAUAUUUGUAUGGCUAUAAUUAAGGAAAUAUAUGAAUGUGUAAAUUUUUUUUGGAACGAACUAAUAAGAAAAUAGUGUCAAUCUAUUGAAAUGGGAGGACUAGUACUUUUCACGUAUGCAGUUUUAAAUAUGAAAAUUUUAUUUUAAAAAACCUUAUAAAUCUAUGCCCGGAUUUACACAAAAAGGAAGUAUUAGCAGUAGAAUGAUACCAACGUACAUGUCGAUACAUAUCAAAAUAGAAAGAGUAUCAUAACAUAUGGAAUUAACGCCAUGCAAGAUAAAAUCCAAAAAUUUCCAUCCCCUCACCCCCUCAAUUUUUCUUAGCUGUUUUUGGUUUAUUAUUGAGUUUGUACAGUACUAUACAAGGAAUAUUAUGGAGUACCAUUAAUUCUACUAAGUUUAAAGGUAUUAAUUGAGGAAUAAAACACACCAUCUCACGUGCACUAUGCAUGCAUGUCGAUCGUACGGAUAGCUAAGGCUACUAACUUUGGAAAAAGAAAAGAGUAGGUAAAAUAGAAGAAAGCUAUGCUGCAUUUGCCUAAAAAUAUGGAAGACGA
Long non-coding RNA from Nicotiana tabacum (common tobacco), 3069 nucleotides. RefSeq lists it as uncharacterized. Lineage: Eukaryota; Viridiplantae; Streptophyta; Magnoliopsida; Solanales; Solanaceae. The record is from RefSeq and is a predicted model, not a curated record.